AGUGAACGCUGGCGGUAGGCCUAACACAUGCAAGUCGAACGGCAGCACAGUAAGAGCUUGCUCUUACGGGUGGCGAGUGGCGGACGGGUGAGGAAUACAUCGGAAUUUACUUUUUCGUGGGGGAUAACGUAGGGAAACUUACGCUAAUACCGCAUACGACCUACGGGUGAAAGCAGGGGAUCUUCGGACCUUGCGCGAUUGAAUGAGCCGAUGUCGGAUUAGCUAGUUGGCGGGGUAAAGGCCCACCAAGGCGACGAUCCGUAGCUGGUCUGAGAGGAUGAUCAGCCACACUGGAACUGAGACACGGUCCAGACUCCUACGGGAGGCAGCAGUGGGGAAUAUUGGACAAUGGGCGCAAGCCUGAUCCAGCCAUACCGCGUGGGUGAAGAAGGCCUUCGGGUUGUAAAGCCCUUUUGUUGGGUAAGAAAAGCAGCAGGUUAAUACCCCGCUGUUCUGACGGUACCCAAAGAAUAAGCACCGGCUAACUUCGUG
RNAcentral lists this ribosomal RNA (492 nucleotides) under uncultured bacterium. RNAcentral describes it as "partial 16S ribosomal RNA". It matches the Rfam family "Bacterial small subunit ribosomal RNA", at positions 29 to 507 of the family's 1533-position model. The record is from RNAcentral.